RNAcentral lists this transfer RNA (72 nucleotides) under Camelus bactrianus (Bactrian camel). It matches the Rfam family "tRNA". From Rfam's summary of the family: Transfer RNA (tRNA) molecules are approximately 80 nucleotides in length. Their secondary structure includes four short double-helical elements and three loops (D, anti-codon, and T loops). RNAcentral also lists the same sequence under 2 other names. The record is from Rfam by way of RNAcentral. Lineage: Eukaryota; Metazoa; Chordata; Mammalia; Artiodactyla; Camelidae.
GAGAGUAUAGGUCAGUGGUAGAGAGCAUGCCUAGCAUGCACGAGGUUCUGGGUUCAAUCCCCAGUACCUCCA